GUGGGGAAUAUUGGGCAAUGGGCGCAAGCCUGACCCAGCAACGCCGCGUGAGGGAAGAAGGCUUUCGGGUUGUAAACCUCUGUCCUUGGUGACGAAACAAAUGACGGUAGCCAAGGAGGAAGCCCCGGCUAACUACGUGCAAGCAGCCGCGGUAAUACGUAGGGGGCGAGCGUUGUCCGGAAUUACUGGGCGUAUAGGGUGCGUAGGUGGCCUUUUAAGUUGGAUGUGAAAUACCCUGGCUUAACUUGGGGGGUGCAUCCAAAACUGGGAGGCUAGAGUGCAGGAGAGCAAAGCGGAAUUCCUAGUGUAGCGGUGAAAUGCGUAGAUAGUAGGAGGAACACCAGUGGCGAAGGCGGCUUUCUGGACUGUAACUGACACUGAGGCACGAAAGCGUGGGGAGCAAACAGGAUUAGAAACCCGAGUAGUCC
Molecule: ribosomal RNA, 428 nt
Filed under: uncultured bacterium
Lineage: Bacteria
Description: partial 16S ribosomal RNA
Rfam family: Bacterial small subunit ribosomal RNA
Source: RNAcentral